This 676-nucleotide ribosomal RNA is filed under the name uncultured Alphaproteobacteria bacterium. RNAcentral describes it as "bacterial SSU rRNA". It matches the Rfam family "Bacterial small subunit ribosomal RNA", at positions 28 to 750 of the family's 1533-position model. Lineage: Bacteria; Pseudomonadati; Pseudomonadota; Alphaproteobacteria. The record is from RNAcentral.
AGCGAACGCUGGCGGCAGGCUUAACACAUGCAAGUCGAGCGGGCCCUUCGGGGUCAGCGGCGGACGGGUGAGUAACGCGUGGGAACGUGCCUUCUGGUUCGGAAUAACCCUGGGAAACUAGGGCUAAUACCGGAUACGCCCUUUUGGGGAAAGGUUUACUGCCGGAAGAUCGGCCCGCGUCUGAUUAGCUAGUUGGUGGGGUAACGGCCUACCAAGGCGACGAUCAGUAGCUGGUCUGAGAGGGUGAUCAGCCACACUGGGACUGAGACACGGCCCAGACUCCUACGGGAGGCAGCAGUGGGGAAUAUUGGACAAUGGGCGCAAGCCUGAUCCAGCCAUGCCGCGUGAGUGAUGAAGGCCUUAGGGUUGUAAAGCUCUUUUAUCCGGGACGAUAAUGACGGUACCGGAGGAAUAAGCCCCGGCUAACUUCGUGCCAGCAGCCGCGGUAAUACGAAGGGGGCUAGCGUUGCUCGGAAUCACUGGGCGUAAAGGGCGCGUAGGCGGCGUUUUAAGUCGGGGGUGAAAGCCUGUGGCUCAACCACAGAAUGGCCUUCGAUACUGGGACGCUUGAGUAUGGUAGAGGUUGGUGGAACUGCGAGUGUAGAGGUGAAAUUCGUAGAUAUUCGCAAGAACACCGGUGGCGAAGGCGGCCAACUGGACCAUUACUGACGCUGAG